This 501-nucleotide ribosomal RNA is filed under the name uncultured bacterium. Its description in RNAcentral is "partial 16S ribosomal RNA". It matches the Rfam family "Bacterial small subunit ribosomal RNA", at positions 30 to 523 of the family's 1533-position model. The record is from RNAcentral.
AUUGAACGCUGGCGGCAGGCUUAACACAUGCAAGUCGAGCGGGGGAAGGUAGCUUGCUACUGGACCUAGCGGCGGACGGGUGAGUAAUGCUUAGGAAUCUGCCUAUUAGUGGGGGACAACAUCUCGAAAGGGAUGCUAAUACCGCAUACGUCCUACGGGAGAAAGCAGGGGAUCUUCGGACCUUGCGCUAAUAGAUGAGCCUAAGUCGGAUUAGCUAGUUGGUGGGGUAAAGGCCUACCAAGGCGACGAUCUGUAGCGGGUCUGAGAGGAUGAUCCGCCACACUGGGACGGAGACCCGGCCCAGACUCCUACGGGAGGCAGCAGUGGGGAAUAUUGGACCAUGGGGGGAACCCUGAUCCAGCCAUGCCGCGUGUGUGAAGAAGGCCUUAUGGUUGUAAAGCACUUUAAGCGAGGAGGAGGCUACUUUAGCUAAUACCUAGAGAUAGUGGACGUUAUUCGCAGAAUAAGCACCGGCUAACUCUGUGCCAGCCGCCGCCGUAA